Molecule: unclassified non-coding RNA, 338 nt
Filed under: Hevea brasiliensis (rubber tree)
Lineage: Eukaryota; Viridiplantae; Streptophyta; Magnoliopsida; Malpighiales; Euphorbiaceae
Source: RNAcentral
GGUUGAGAAUGCCCAGCAGCUACCUGUACAAAUAGACAAGUAAUUGCGAAUUUGUUAGAUUUUUGUCUUGGAAUAUCAAAUAUGCCUGAAUUUUAUCUAAUAAUUUUUCUGCAAAUUAGAUUGUUCAUUUCAACUUUCAUUUUUGUUCAAAUAAGUCGAUCCAAUUUUUUUCUUUUUUCAGUAUAUAUGAAAUGGUUAAUUAUAUGGGCUGGGCUUAGAUGGUCCUGAAUCCAGACCUAUACUAGCACAAGUUCUACAGACUGUAUAUAUAUGUGGGAAUGGUCCAUGAACAACCAGGAUCUGGGCCCAAACUCAAACAUUAUAUUAUAUGGAUCGAG